UACGGAGGGUGCGAGCGUUGUCCGGAAUCAUUGGGCGUAAAGGGCGCGUAGGCGGCCUGGUAAGUCGGGGGUGAAAUCCUGCGGCUUAACCGCAGGGCUGCCUUCUAAACUGUCAGGCUGGAGCACAGUAGAGGCAGGUGGAAUUUCCGGUGUAGCGGUGGAAUGCGUAGAGAUCGGGAAGAACAUCAGUGGCGAAGGCGGCGUUCUGGACUGUUUCUGACACUGUAAAACGAAAGCCAGGGGAGCAAACGGG
This 253-nucleotide ribosomal RNA is filed under the name uncultured bacterium. Its description in RNAcentral is "partial 16S ribosomal RNA". It matches the Rfam family "Bacterial small subunit ribosomal RNA", at positions 524 to 776 of the family's 1533-position model. The record is from RNAcentral.